CCAUCUGUCUUUUGUUGGAAAAAAAACCCUGUAUUCUGGGGUCUUGGGGCUAGGGGGCAGUGUUCACCUAUUGGUACAGGCUGGAGCAGAGUGUGUGUGUGUGUGUGUGUGUGUGUGUGUGUUGAUGAUGAUGACUGGACAUUACUAAGCUCUGGUUCCAGAGAGAAUUCUAGAAGUCCGUUAAAACAACUUAGCUCAUCUUCCCAUGAGUAACUUGCUUCUUGUAUAUGCCUGUGAAAUGUUAUUCGGCGUCUAUGUGGCUGAACAACCAGGUUUAUUUGAAGAUAGAAGGUGGUUUUUUUUUUUUUAUCCAGUAAACUUUAUUUAUAUAUAACAACAGUACAAAUGGUGUCCUUGGCUUGCAAAAUAGGAGUGUUUCGUAUUUACAAUAGGUACACAAUAAUAUAUUAGAAUAACCAAAAAAAACCCCAUUUUAUUGGAACAUUUUAAAUACUUAAUUUUCUUACAGUUUUUUUUUCCACAACACCUGUAAAAACAACAAAACCAGACAACUAUCAUUGUAUUUUCUUAAAAAUAUAUAUAAUACAGAUUCCAGUGUGUCAAGAAGAGUGAGUUUGGGUAGGAGAAGUUGGGGGGAGAGGCAGGUGGGCUCGGGUCCCUAGUUUCGUGGGCUUGUCCAGACUUGCUAAUGUCUGCCCUGUAUGGAGGGGGACCACGUUCCACUAUGUUCUCCACUUGAAAUGUCAACAUAGAGGGCAAAUAAAGCCAAAGGCAGGGCCUUGACUGAUGUCCAAAGGUGCCUCCCAUCUUCCUGGAGGCUAGACAGGAGGAGUAAGCUUCACAGCCGAAAGAACAGAGCCCCGUCUGAAGGUGGAGCCCUGUUACAGCGAGGAGAAGGAGACAGACAUCCACGAGAAGCCCAGAAUCUCCAGUCUGCUUGUUGGGCUGGGGCCCUGUUUGACAAGCAGUGAUCUCGAUCAGUCAGCAACUAGGGCAUCCCUGAUACCAAGAGUGAAACUUUCAUUCAUGGUAACACUGAGGCCCGGGUGCUAAAACUUCCUCCUCUGGGGAAACCAGGAGAAAGUCAGGAGACCGAGAAGAGAGACUCUGGAGUUAUGAAGGGGAUCCUGCCAUUUUUUCAAAGCUUGUUCCAGAGACAAGGCCCUGAACUUCAUCUCCCCAUCUUCCCGCGAGAUCUGCUGCCACAGCCCUUCCAGCACACCCAUCCAUCGCUUCUGCUUCAUGCUCAGCAGGGCCAGAGGCCUUGAACGCUAUUUCUUGUCCCCAUUUGGUGGAAAUGAAGAAAGGUCAGGAGCUCAAGCAGCAGGGGACGCGCCACCAGAAGGGACAGCGGCAGGAGAAAUGAUAGAGCCUCUCCCUGCACAAGGAAUGUCCCCAGAAUAAGGUAAGGCAGCUGGGUUGGUCCACUUUCUUCCUUCUUCCGGUCCCUUUUCUGCACAACUCAUGCCCUCUGCAGGUGGUGGGGGAGAAUCUACCUACUAAGUUGGUGGCAGGGACCAGUAGCCUGGAGAGUGUAAAUCUGCUGGAAGGUCCUUCUUGGUCUUGUUCGUGGCUGUGUUUCAGCACCCAGAACAGUGCCUAGCAGAUAGCUGCAGUGUAUGAAGGUUCCCUGAAUGGACGAAUGUAGGAACCAGUCCCCACCCUGCAGCGAGGUUAACAGCUGAUUCACACUUUGAAUGACUGAGCUCUGCAAGGAAGGGGAGCUCUCUGCAGCGGUGGAUCAGAAAUGAUUUGAGAGCUGUGCUGCGGGCAGAGGCAGCAGACCAGGUGAAGUGACCUGCUCCACCAAAAUGGACAUCUCGCCCAUCUUCGUCUUGUCUGUUAGCACCUUCUGUCUUGCCAAGCACAUUGCUGGGGGCCUUUUCCAGAGAACUGUCGCUGGUGCAGAUUAACGAAACACAACGAAGCUGGGCUGGUUUUUGAGAGGCAUUGCCCUUCCUGCCUCCCUCCAAGAUGGCUGGCUUCGUGGGGGUGGGGGCUGUGACUUUUUCCUUACAUGAGCUCCAAAUAGCUCCAAAUCGGAUAAUAGGGAGGAGAGAGGCCAAUCGACUCCCCGUUCUCCCCAUCCUACAGGCACGGACUCCAUCGGUUCUUGGUGACCCAAAGCCAAGAGCUGGUGGAGGAGGGACAGAGGGGAAGCUGGAGAAGGGCCAAGGCUUGACAAGUGUGCACCCUCACGGCCUGACUUGAGUCGCACGGAGUUGUCCUUUCUUGAAUUCCUUCCUCAGAGACACCCCUGUGCCACUUCCUUUGCCGUCCCCACAUGCCCCACCCUCUUACGGAAUCCUGAGGAAUGUGGCCAGACCAUUCACGCCAGCUCUGGUUCCUCUCCUCUCCACUCUCCAGUUGGCUUAUCCCCCAUCCUUCUCCCCACUCUCCAAACACCUUCAAGGAACAGCCCCAGGGCAGCAAAUAGUCACCCAAAGUAGCUCCUGGUUGACACUCGGGUGUGCACCCGAGAUGCAUAGAGGUAAGUGUUGGUUGAGAAGCUGUUGAAACGUCAAACUUCCUUUUCCUUCUUGGUGGAACAAAACCCCGGAUGCUGGUCCGUGCAGGGGCGUGAUCAGAAAACCUUCACUCGGAGCUCACAUGUAACAGGAGGGCGGGCUGGGAUUUUUCUGUGGGUGGGAUCAAGUCCCCGGCUCACAUGCCUCUUGCUCACAUCCUCUCUCCUUUCAUCGCCCUAAAUCACAGGCUCCAAGCUGAGAAGCUUUGGGUGCUAUGAAGAGCAAACACUUUGGCUUAGUGCGGAAGGCCAGUCAUUAGUAUUUCUUUCAGGCUAUUAAUAGGGUCCAGAGAAACUUUAGCAGAAGUGGAUUAUCGGAAGAAAGUGGGCUUGGCAUGGCUGGUUGUGAAUUAUAAUGAAAAGAGCGAGUUUCCUGAGUAUUUUGCUGAAGGCUUUUCUCUUUCCCUCUGUCAGCUGCAUUCAUUCAGGCAAGAAACUGGAGCUGAGGAGCCCGGGCGAUGUCUGCUGUGUGGUUAGCACGGCACUCCACAGCCACACGCCGGGGACGGAAGCCAGCCCGCAGAGCUCCCCCUCCCCCAGUCCUUUCCUGGGAAUCCAGUGUGGUCAGCAGAGCCUUUGGAAAUUGGAAUUGUUUGGAGGUAAAUCAUGGCACAGAGAAGCUGGGGCCCAGAGUUAAUUACAGAGGAAAUGACCCUGGUCUGGUCUCUGUGGGGCUGCCUGGUCCAGUUUCUCAGCACCGCGGGCCCUUGUAGAAAGUAGGAAGGGAGCGGUGGUCCUCUCCUGCCUGCCUCCUUCCCACCCCUUGGCCUUUCUCUCGCCCUCCUUCUCCUUCCCUCUGAUGCUCUGACAGAGAAGCUGGAGCUGCCUGCUUGGAUCCUUGCCAGUGUGGGAGGCCUGGAAACUCUGGUGGCUGUCCCGGUCACCUAGGUCUUGCCACCAACAGAGCCAUGACUCCCGCUGGCUUUCGUGGCGCCUUUGGACCCGGGUGUGGAGCUUUGGUCUCUUGGUUUAGAAACUACACUCAGGAGAGUGGGUCAUCCAUGGUUUUAGGUGUCAGCAGAAGAGAGUGAGAAAGAAAGGAGCCCAGUGAGAAGCCACCCACUCGUCCUUGAAACUCAUGAGGACAGGAGAGGCAGAGAGAGAGGCAGGAGACAGUAACGUGGGGAUGCUACAGUCAUUUCUACUGAGGCCAGGGCUCAGCCGACCAGGAGCUCCCACACAGGAGCGGAGGGCCGUCUCCCCUCUGCAGGCACAAGAAAACGAUAGAAAGCGUCACAAUCAACACGGCAGCAUCUUUAACCUACGCUCUUCAAGUAUUGCUUGCUGUAAACAGUGUUUGAUGUUUGCUUUCUCUCGAAUUGCCAAGAAACCACGGGCAGACUGGAGUGCAAUCUAAAGCCAGAUACCCAUGUCGCCCAGUCAGCUCCCAGAUGGAAUCUCCCGGGGGGGGGGGGGGGGGCACACACCUCCAGGCCCUUUCCCCAGGGUGCCCGGUUCAGGACCGUGACUGAUGUAGGGCAAAGCUGCCCGGUGUCCGCAGGGAGGCCAGGCGUCGGGUCUGGGAGAGGCCCGGCUCUCCGCCGCGUCUCCUAGUAACUUUACAGGCAUCCAAAGGGAAAAGUACCAAAGGUCAGCUCCUCGCUUCUUGAGGUUUGAGAUGAAACAAGAGGAAAACGAACACAAAAGCAGUAGCAAAAAAGCACUGGUAACUCUAUGGACACAGAGCUCCUCUCCAGGGAUGAGAGCCCACGGGGAUGUGGUAGGUAAAGCUCUGCACCCAGCCAGCCGGGCUGAGCCCCCUCCACGGCGCUGCCGUCUGCACCGCGCUCUGUAGCUCCCAUGCUCCUGUGGCUGCCGGGGUAAUUCCAGGUUUUCCUGGCCUCUGUUUCGGUGAAGCGUUCGGGGUGAACUUGUGCUCGUUCUUCUCCUCCUCCCCAUUUUCUCGUAAUUUCCAGGGGAAGGGAAUGAUCGUUUUGCCUCCAGUUUCUCUCAGGUUCUCUUUGCAGGCUUUUUCUGGCAUGUGGGAAGAGGAGUCACUCGAGGAAGGGGGGAGGGAAGAAGGAAGGGGGGCAGAAAUCAGAAUGAAACAGAAGUUGGACGGGAUUAACAGGGAGGCUUUUUGUUUUAUUUCUGUGUUUUUUUUUUCCUUUUCUUAAAAAAAAUUAAAUAAAGUUCUCAUUAUUUCCCCAA
Acinonyx jubatus (cheetah) is the source of this 4639-nucleotide long non-coding RNA. RefSeq lists it as uncharacterized. NCBI's taxonomy places the organism in Eukaryota, Metazoa, Chordata, Mammalia, Carnivora, Felidae. The transcript is spliced from 2 exons. The record is from RefSeq and is a predicted model, not a curated record.